CAGUACCGCGGGAAUACGAAGGGUGCAAGCGUUACUCGGAAUUACUGGGCGUAAAGCGUGCGUAGGUGGUGGUUUAAGUCCGUUGUGAAAGCCCUGGGCUCAACCUGGGAAUUGCAGUGGAUACUGGGUCACUAGAGUGUGGUAGAGGAUAGUGGAAUUUCCGGUGUAGCAGUGAAAUGCGUAGAGAUCGGAAGGAACAUCUGUGGCGAAGGCGACUAUCUGGGCCAACACUGACACUGAGGCACGAAAGCGUGGGGAGCAAACAGGAUUAGAGACCCGCGUAGUCCCUGUCUCUUAUACA
This 301-nucleotide ribosomal RNA is filed under the name uncultured bacterium. Its description in RNAcentral is "partial 16S ribosomal RNA". It matches the Rfam family "Bacterial small subunit ribosomal RNA", at positions 509 to 808 of the family's 1533-position model. The record is from RNAcentral.